Molecule: ribosomal RNA, 253 nt
Filed under: uncultured bacterium
Lineage: Bacteria
Description: partial 16S ribosomal RNA
Rfam family: Bacterial small subunit ribosomal RNA
Source: RNAcentral
UACGGAGGGUGCAAGCGUUAUCCGGAUUCACUGGGUUUAAAGGGUGCGUAGGCGGGCAGGUAAGUCCGUGGUGAAAUCUCUGAGCUUAACUCAGAAACUGCCAUGGAUACUAUUUGUCUUGAAUAUUGUGGAGGUAAGCGGAAUAUGUCAUGUAGCGGUGAAAUGCUUAGAUAUGACAUAGAACACCAACUGCGAAGGCAGCUUACUACACAGUUAUUGACGCUGAGGCACGAAAGCGUGGGGAUCAAACAGG